AGCGUACCUUCCAAUGCCUUCGAAUUAAUUUUUUCGUUUGUGGAGGCUCCGUUUGCUUGUGCACCUCAUGCUGUACCUGCAAGGAAUGUUGAGGUCCUGCACGGCAAGGGCAAGCACUAAUUAUUUCUCGUUUUUUGAGGCCCCGUUUGCAAAGCACCUCAUGCAUUGCAAGGAAUGUGGAUAAUCUCUGCUAAUGUUGCUGCCAGGGCAUCCAACCAAUGAAGACCUGCUCAAUUGGGUUUUGAAGAGCCGAACGCCGAGCUCCGUGAUGCAGGUUCUGCAGCUGUUUAUCUAUUUUAUUCUUUUUUGCCCUUCCGCACUUGCUUUGUAAAAGAGGGGGACCGCACUUUCAACAAUGCCAAAGGAGCAUUUACAGGUUUCUGAAUAUCAGGCUCUGUUUGCGUGAGCAUCUCAUGCUUUGCAAGGUCGCGCAAAAAUUUGAGAGCACGGAGGCCCGUUUCAUUGGCGAUAAGGUGAAAACGGAAGAUGCGGUGCGGGCUGUGCAUUCAGCAAAUUUGUGCGAGCCAGCGGGCGGGGUUUAGCCUGUGCAGUGAGACAUGAAAAUGCUUUGGAAGAAAUGUUGAGAUCCUCCACGGCAAGCACGGCUUCUGGAUAAUCUCUGUCAAGAUGUAUCUGAAGAAACAUCUUGAGUAGGGUUUGAGAAGCAGAAUGCCGAGCUCAUUGCAAUGUCCGAACUGCAGCAGCAGAGCACCAGAAUUUCGGCACUCAUUAUUCAAAUUGGGGGAACCCUCAGUCCUGUUUGCGUUCAAAGAGGGUCAUCAGCACUGCCUGCUUUUAACUGUAUUAGAUAGUCAGCCGAUUUGUGCAACUAUGACAUUGCCGAUGACUUGCUCUGUAAAAGAGGGAGUCCGGGCGUCCAAGGAUGCCAAAGGGGCCUCUCUGGAUAUCUGAAGUGUUUCUGCAACACUGAUUCUUUAGUUUUUUCGCCCACGCCACUAUUUUCGAAGCAGAGGACCUGCCACCUGGGAAUGCAGAAGAACAAAUCGGGCGCCUUUGAUGGGCACAUGGUGCGGAACUGGGGAGCGGAUCAAUGUGAUCCAUACUGUGCAGGUUAGAAAAUUUGACAUGGUAUCAGAGCCUGGAGCUAGAAGGAAGGAGCCACAACAAUUAUUUGCAGGCAGAUUUUUGAAGAUUACCAUGAUCACAAAAGCUGAUGUAGAUCUCUAUUUCUAAAUGCAUGCAUAUUCUUCCCCUCAUUUUUUGCAUGCUCCUUGU
This is a long non-coding RNA of Cryptomeria japonica (Japanese cedar), 1236 nucleotides long. RefSeq lists it as uncharacterized. The record is from RefSeq and is a predicted model, not a curated record. The transcript is spliced from 5 exons. Lineage: Eukaryota; Viridiplantae; Streptophyta; Pinopsida; Cupressales; Cupressaceae.